This is a long non-coding RNA of Neopsephotus bourkii (Bourke's parrot), 593 nucleotides long. RefSeq lists it as uncharacterized. The transcript has 3 exons. NCBI's taxonomy places the organism in Eukaryota, Metazoa, Chordata, Aves, Psittaciformes, Psittacidae. The record is from RefSeq and is a predicted model, not a curated record.
UUCUCUUCUUAGUAGCUGGUGCAGCGCUGUGUUUUUGACUUUCAGCCUGGGAACAGUGCUGAUAACACCAGUGUUUUUGGUUGUUGCUCAGUAAUGUUUACUCUGACCAAGGACUUUCUAAGUCUCAUGCUCUACCAGGGAGAAGGGGAAGCCGGGAGGAAGCAGAGACAGGACACCUGACCCAAGCUAGACAAAGAAGUAUUCCAUAUCACAACACGUCAUGCCCACUAUAUAAACUGGGGGCAGUUACCCAGAAGGGUUAAAUCACUGCUCAGGUCGGGCUGGGUAUCAAUUGGUGGUGGGGGGAGGGGCAAAGGAGCAAAAUGGCCAAAGUGUGAGAUGCAGCAUGCUGCCAUGUGUUACCAGGUACAGUGCUUGCUCACCCUGCUGCAUCUACCAUGUAUGUGCUGGAAAAGCCACUCAAAUGAUUUGUAACAAAAUAGCUGAAUAUGUCUCUGCCAAGGAUCAAGCUAUACCACGCAGUACUGCAGGUCGAAUUGAGGCUCUCAACAAAGCAAAAUGCAGCAGCACUGUUUGUUUACUCUUCUGUAAAAGGACCACUCAAGAGUACAAAACUCUCUCCACUGCCAUGA